Molecule: ribosomal RNA, 475 nt
Filed under: uncultured organism
Description: partial 16S ribosomal RNA
Rfam family: Bacterial small subunit ribosomal RNA
Source: RNAcentral
GUACACUCCUACGGGAGGCAGCAGUGGGGAAUAUUGCACAAUGGGCGCAAGCCUGAUGCAGCCAUGCCGCGUGUAUGAAGAAGGCCUUCGGGUUGUAAAGUACUUUCAGCGGGGAGGAAGGCGAUAAGGUUAAUAACCUUGUCGAUUGACGUUACCCGCAGAAGAAGCACCGGCUAACUCCGUGCCAGCAGCCGCGGUAAUACGGAGGGUGCAAGCGUUAAUCGGAAUUACUGGGCGUAAAGCGCACGCAGGCGGUCUGUCAAGUCGGAUGUGAAAUCCCCGGGCUCAACCUGGGAACUGCAUUCGAAACUGGCAGGCUAGAGUCUUGUAGAGGGGGGUAGAAUUCCAGGUGUAGCGGUGAAAUGCGUAGAGAUCUGGAGGAAUACCGGUGGCGAAGGCGGCCCCCUGGACAAAGACUGACGCUCAGGUGCGAAAGCGUGGGGAGCAAACAGGAUUAGAAACCCCAGUAGUCCCA